GAUUAUGGCUCAGGAUGAACGCUAGCGAUAGGCCUAACACAUGCAAGUCGAGGGGCAGCACAUGAGUAGCAAUACGAUGGUGGCGACCGGCGCACGGGUGAGUAACACGUAUGCAACCUACCUUUAACAGGGGAAUAACCCGUGAAAAACGGACUAAUACUCCAUAACACAGGGGUCCCGCAUGGGAAUAUUUGUUAAAGAUUAAUCGGUUGAAGAUGGGCAUGCGUUCCAUUAGCUUGUUGGUGAGGUAACGGCUCACCAAGGCCACGAUGGAUAGGGGAACUGAGAGGUUUAUCCCCCCACACUGGAACUGAGACACGGUCCAGACUCCUACGGGAGGCAGCAGUGAGGAAUAUUGGUCAAUGGAGGCAACUCUGAACCAGCCAAGUCGCGUGAAGGAUGAAGGUCUUAUGGAUUGUAAACUUCUUUUGCAAGGGAAUAAAGUGGGGGACGUGUCCUCCUUUGCAUGUACCUUGCGAAUAAGGAUCGGCUAACUCCGUGCCAGCAGCCGC
Molecule: ribosomal RNA, 512 nt
Filed under: uncultured bacterium
Lineage: Bacteria
Description: bacterial SSU rRNA
Rfam family: Bacterial small subunit ribosomal RNA
Source: RNAcentral